RNAcentral lists this ribosomal RNA (429 nucleotides) under Gemmatimonadota bacterium. RNAcentral describes it as "Gemmatimonadetes bacterium partial 16S ribosomal RNA". It matches the Rfam family "Bacterial small subunit ribosomal RNA", at positions 355 to 776 of the family's 1533-position model. Lineage: Bacteria; Pseudomonadati; Gemmatimonadota. The record is from RNAcentral.
UAGGGAAUCUUCGGCAAUGGACGCAAGUCUGACCGAGCAACGCCGCGUGUGUGAAGAAGGUUUUCGGAUCGUAAAACUCUGUUGUUAGAGAAGAACAAGGACGUUAGUAACUGAACGUCCCCUGACGGUAUCUAACCAGAAAGCCCCGGCUAACUACGUGCCAGCAGCCGCGGUAAUACGUAGGUGGCAAGCGUUGUCCGGAUUUAUUGGGCGUAAAGCGAGCGCAGGCGGUUUCUUAAGUCUGAUGUGAAAGCCCCCGGCUCAACCGGGGAGGGUCAUUUGAAACUGGGAGACUUGAGUGCAGAAGAGGAGAGUAGAAUUCCAUGUGUAGCGGUGAAAUGCGUAGAUAUAUGGAGGAACACCAGUGGCGAAGGCGGCUCUCUGGUCUGUAACUGACGCUGAGGCUCGAAAGCGUGGGGAGCAAACAGG